UACAGAGGUCCCGAGCGUUGUUCGGAUUCAUUGGGCGUAAAGGGCGUGUAGGCGGCCUGCUAAGUCUGAUGUGAAAUCCCCUCGCUCAACGAGGGAACUGCGUCGGAUACUGGCAGACUCGAGUACCGGAGAGGAAGGUGGAAUUUCCGGUGUAGCGGUGAAAUGCGUAGAUAUCGGGAGGAACACCGGUGGCGAAGGCGGCCUUCUGGACGGAUACUGACGCUGAGACGCGAAAGCGUGGGGAGCAAACAGG
RNAcentral lists this ribosomal RNA (253 nucleotides) under uncultured bacterium. RNAcentral describes it as "partial 16S ribosomal RNA". It matches the Rfam family "Bacterial small subunit ribosomal RNA", at positions 524 to 776 of the family's 1533-position model. The record is from RNAcentral.